GUCGAGCGGCGGACGGGUGAGUAAUGCCUGGGAAAUUGCCCUGAUGUGGGGGAUAACCAUUGGAAACGAUGGCUAAUACCGCAUAAUAGCUUCGGCUCAAAGAGGGGGACCUUCGGGCCUCUCGCGUCAGGAUAUGCCCAGGUGGGAUUAGCUAGUUGGUGAGGUAAUGGCUCACCAAGGCGACGAUCCCUAGCUGGUCUGAGAGGAUGAUCAGCCACACUGGAACUGAGACACGGUCCAGACUCCUACGGGAGGCAGCAGUGGGGAAUAUUGCACAAUGGGCGCAAGCCUGAUGCAGCCAUGCCGCGUGUGUGAAGAAGGCCUUCGGGUUGUAAAGCACUUUCAGUCGUGAGGAAGGUGGUGUAGUUAAUAGCUGCAUCAUUUGACGUUAGCGACAGAAGAAGCACCGGCUAACUCCGUGCCAGCAGCCGCGGUAAUACGGAGGGUGCGAGCGUUAAUCGGAAUUACUGGGCGUAAAGCGCAUGCAGGUGGUUAGUUAAGUCAGAUGUGAAAGCCCGGGGCUCAACCUCGGAACUGCAUUUGAAACUGGCUGACUAGAGUACUGUAGAGGGGGGUAGAAUUUCAGGUGUAGCGGUGAAAUGCGUAGAGAUCUGAAGGAAUA
RNAcentral lists this ribosomal RNA (622 nucleotides) under Vibrio sp. N05ML4. RNAcentral's name for it is "bacterial SSU rRNA". It matches the Rfam family "Bacterial small subunit ribosomal RNA", at positions 90 to 708 of the family's 1533-position model. The record is from RNAcentral. Lineage: Bacteria; Pseudomonadati; Pseudomonadota; Gammaproteobacteria; Vibrionales; Vibrionaceae.